RNAcentral lists this ribosomal RNA (253 nucleotides) under uncultured bacterium. RNAcentral describes it as "partial 16S ribosomal RNA". It matches the Rfam family "Bacterial small subunit ribosomal RNA", at positions 524 to 776 of the family's 1533-position model. The record is from RNAcentral.
UACGUAGGGUGCGAGCGUUAAUCGGAAUUAUUGGGCGUAAAGCGCGCGCAGGUGGUUCCUUAAGUCUGAUGUGAAAGCCCACGGCUCAACCGUGGAGGGUCAUUGGAAACUGGGGAACUUGAGUGCAGAAGAGGAAAGUGGAAUUCCACGUGUAGCGGUGAAAUGCGUAGAGAUGUGGAGGAACACCAGUGGCGAAGGCGACUUUCUGGUCUGUAACUGACACUGAGGCGCGAAAGCGUGGGGAGCAAACAGG